AAUUUUUUUAUUUCAUUAAUUUUGUAUGUAGCAAAUAAAUAAAUAAAUAAUAACAAAGAAUGAAUCCAAUAUACAACAAUUUUCCAUCGUCUCUCUCUCGCUCUCUCUCUCCCAACAAAUAUUAAUUUAAUCAACCAAAACUCCUCCCAACUUGAAAAGUCAAGUGAAACAACAGAUUAAUCAAUGUUUCAAGAAACCAA
Molecule: long non-coding RNA, 200 nt
Organism: Populus euphratica (Euphrates poplar)
Lineage: Eukaryota; Viridiplantae; Streptophyta; Magnoliopsida; Malpighiales; Salicaceae
Exons: 2
Source: RefSeq, a predicted model, not a curated record